Molecule: long non-coding RNA, 3637 nt
Organism: Planococcus citri (citrus mealybug)
Lineage: Eukaryota; Metazoa; Arthropoda; Insecta; Hemiptera; Pseudococcidae
Exons: 10
Source: RefSeq, a predicted model, not a curated record
UUUCGACAUUUUGCGUCAUCGGUAGAUUAGAAAGUAGAAUAAAUUGUAUUGUGCAGGGUAGUUAAUAGUUAGAAUGCAGAAUUGAGAAUCUCGACUCCGACUUGGAUUAUUUACAGAUGACAUCCCAAAUCUAGCAAACGUGGUCAUAGUUUUUCGCCCACAGUCGUAUCAGCUACCCUUUCAACUAAUAGAUCAAGAAUAAUGAAUUGAAACUACUUUGAUGGAUGUAUCUAAUUCGGCCGGAAAAUGUAUUCGAUAUAAGAUGAGAAUCGCGUAGUGAUUCGGCUACAAAUUUAUUCGCUUGUUUGAGACUGGACUGGAAAACAUGAGCGAUAAUGGUACUCAAGCUACAUUAAACGAUACGGAUGCUGACACUGUUGACGAACACGCCGACCAAACUGAAAUACUUUCUCAAGUACCGUAGAAACUACUGCAGAAGACUCUCACACCACAGAAUUACUUCAAUCCGGUACCGAACACGAUAACGAAACGCAGAUUUCUCCUGAAACUCGAGUUGACGAAUUUUUACCAACUAUAAUUGAUAGUCGUGGCGUUUGUGACGAUUCUUCGAAUCUAGAAACUUCACGAACUAAUGCAGUUAAUGCAACUAUCGCUGCAAAUGAAAAUAAUGUAGCGUGCGUUAUCGAUGACGCUGACGGUGCUGAUACUCACUCGAUUACCAACACCGAAGAACCUUCCAAUUGUGAUAAUACUAAUAAUAAAUCGGAUACGGUUUUGAAUUCGAACGUAGUAAAUAAGAAAGAAUCACGCGAUGAGGACAUUGAUAACGAUUACAUGUUGGUCGACUUGAUGAUAUCGGUAUGUACUAUGUACUUCGUUUCACGUCGGAAAUUGAAAUCAAAGAGGAACGAAUCAACGAGCGGAAUUUAUUAAAUACGAACGGUCCCCUGAUUGGAGCCACGAAUACAUCCGAGAGACGACGACGGAAACCUGCUCCGAACGACGACGACGGGAACUACUUUUUACGCGGAGCAGCAAUUUCGUGAACCAGAUCUUGAUCCGAAUCUGAAUCAUCCACCUCCUCUACGUGAACCAGAAACAGAUCUUCAUCCGAAUCUGGAUCAUCCACCUGCUGUUCGUUCAGCCUGUCAUCAAUGAAAUUGAACGGAGACGGUAGAUGACCAGCGCGACCACGUGCUCGUCCAGCUCUGCUUCCUCUCGGUCUUCUAGCGCCGCCGCCGCCUCGCGCUUGUUCAGCGCCGCCGCCUCGCGCACCUCUAGCGCCGCGUGCACCGCCGCCUCGCGCUUGUUCAGCGCCGCCGCCUCGCGCACCUCUAGCACCGCGUGCGCCGCCACCUCGCGCUUGUUCAGCGCCGCCACCGCGGGCACCUCUAGCGCCGCCACCGCGGGCACCUCUAGCGCCGCCACCGCGGGCACCUCUAGCGCCGCCACCGCGGGCACCUCUAGCGCCGCGCGCUCUUCUGUUACCGCCGCGCGCUCCUCUGGCACCACCGCGCACUUGACCAGCGUCACCCUGAGCAUCGGCGUUGUCACCGUCGCCACCAGGUGGAGGAUUUCCCCCGUGUAGGAGUGGCAAUGCAGGAGGUGGCGGUAUAUCUGCGUCGUCAUCUGCGAAUUGACGGAUCACCGGUUCAUCAUCUGCAAUAGAAACUAAGUAAGUAACAAUAACGAAAACAGUCGUGUAUUACUUGGAAACACUUACCCCAAUCCAGCUCUAUAUUUAUUACUUCGAUUACGUCGUGUCCGUCUACAGCUGCCACGGGGUCUUCCUCUGGUAGUCGGUAAAAAAAGAAUUAGUUUCGAUUCUAAGAAAAAAAUAAUAAUUUCUUGUAAUGAUUACAAACCUCGCUCUCGCGCGUUGUCCCUCGCCGCAUCUGCCUCUGGCGCUGCUACAUCAGGCGCAUGGUGGCCUAAAAAUCGGAGCACUUCUUCGGCAGUUCUAACGCCCCUGUCAUACUCAUCCCAAGCACGGGUCAAGUCACGCUCAUGCGCUUCUUGUCGUCUGUCUGCCGGCCAACGAACUUGCUGCGCUUGCCCGGCUCGCAGGUAUCUCCCAUACUGGGCAUUGCUCACCUCCAUCAUUCCGUCUGAAAAUGUUUUAUAGCCUAAUAAAUAUCACUCAAUACCUACCUACAUGACGAUGGUGGUGUGUCCACUUACUCAGAAAAGUAUCGUAACUGGGACGGUGCUGCCGUACCGUCAUCUGCUCCGGUAGGCGCCUAUUGAGUGCUUCCAUUUCGUUGUUCGUCCUUCUUGGUUGACCAUAUACAGAAAGUAGUGCACGUCCUGUGAACAGAAUGUAUUAAUAGCAAUAUUCUACACAAUACGUAUAUUACUUGUGUGUGUACUCACGGGGAAACCAAUACGCCCGUAAGUAUUGGUAAAAGCUUUGCGCUUCCGGCGACUGCGAUUCUCUCACAUACUCCCGCAGUAUGGAGAAUCCCAGGGGGAUAUCGUCUGCGGGGAGCAGAGGGAGCGCGGUGGCCAUUUCGUAGAUCCUGCGAAGCACUGGAUUGGCUUGCACAAUGGCGGUGGUGAGUCCGUGCGCUGCGCGAUUUCGCCUCAGCGCCUGCACGUAGUGAAAAUAACAUCCCAAUAAUUGUGCUAGUGGCCAAACAAUGCGCACAGCUCGCUGUAAUGCCAGCUCGAAGUCGGUAAUUACUAUGCGUGGAAGCAUAUUCUGCACUACCCGCUGCAAUGCCCUGAAUACCUCCACAUAGCAGAUGGUAUUACGCCGCCUCAUCACAGCCCAGGCAACCAUGUACAUCGUUCCGAACGCGGAGGCCAUAAUCACCAGUAACUGUGUGGCCUCCGGAAUGUUCGGGCAUGACCGGAACGUACCAUCAAUACUAAAGAUGGGGUACCCACUGUCGAAGUUCCGGAGACACAAACAGGACGGAGUGCUGUCCCACGCUUUCUACAACGAGGGAAUUGCCGUUGGGCCGGGUGAUUAGACCGUGAUAUGCCUGGUUGGUUCGCAAUAAUUCCCCGAAUUGCCUCACAGUUGCAGGCGGCGGCGGGACCACUGUUAACCUCCAUCUGUCCAUCGACCGCCUCAUCGACUCUAAAUUCAUCCUCUGCAAAACUGCAUCAGGGCGCCUGUCAAGAAAUUAAACAUGCUUAUGGAAUGAAAAAAGUAUGAAUUGACUAGUCGUGAUAAUAUCUCAAGAAGUGCGCAUUUUUUAACUCAACUAUUAGCGGAAAAAUUCGGUCGAUUUUGGCGGAAUGAAAGUAAUUUGAUGGCAGGUGCGCAGUGUCAGCUGCCAAAUUCGUAUACCGAAAUGCAGAAGAAUGGUUUAAAGGAAUGGAGCUGGUUGGACUUGUUAAUCCGUUGGAUAUGAGUAAGGUUCGUAAAUGAUUAUUGAUAGGUAUUGUUUUAAAUCCGGAAUUGUCUUUCCUGUUCGUACAGCAACGUUUUAUUCUAUUUGCGGGGAAAAAAAUCCUCGCUGUUCUUUUGCAUAACGAUUUGUGUUCCCAGUCCCUUAUUUUACGCGCUUAUGAGCACCAUAAUUAUUCCAGGUCGGUCGAAACUUUACCUCUCAGAGGUUCUGAUAAUGUGAGUGUGAAACUUGGCCUACAUACUUGAAUAACUAUCUGUGGUAUACAAGUAUGUUUCUUUAUUUCUUGUAAUUACCUUUUCUUGAUUUUUGUCUUC